Molecule: RNA transcript, 3012 nt
Organism: Scylla paramamosain (green mud crab)
Lineage: Eukaryota; Metazoa; Arthropoda; Malacostraca; Decapoda; Portunidae
Gene: CIAPIN1
Gene name: anamorsin-like
Exons: 4
Source: RefSeq, a predicted model, not a curated record
GCAAAAAUGUUCUCAAUCCGUGGGAAAUGGCUUGUACAAACGUGGCAACACUGGUCUGGUGGUAAGCGACGAGGCAGGGAGGCCGAACACAACACGGCGCCGGGAGAGGCAGAGACGAAGAAACUUGGCCGAAUAUUACACUCUACAGCAAGCCGACUGUGCCGUGGACAGGACGGAAGCAAGACAGUGAGGUGUGUGUGACAAGGGGAGUUGAGCGCAGUGUCUCCAAGCAGCUGCAGCGGCAAGGCUGACAGGAUGUUUGGGAUCAGCAGUGGUCAACAGGUGAUGCUGGUGUGGAGUCAGCCCGUGGAUGGCGAUGACCUUAAGAGUUUGGUGGAGCAGCUCAAGUCCACUGUGGGCCCAGAAGGACGUGUGGCAGUAGAAAACUCAGAGAUGCUGUCUUCGUCGGCCCACACGUCCAGCUCCCUUGACCACGCGCUGGCCUGUGUGCUGCCUCCCUUUGUGGCUGAGUGUCCCUCCGGCGUGCUGAGUGAGGUCCUAAGGGUGCUGCGGCCUGGUGGUAGUCUCACCUUGCGCACCACAGACUCAGCAGCCCUGCGGUCCUCCCUCACCCUGGCCGGCUUCACCUCCAUCUCCCCGGCUGGCAAUGCAAAUCUCACCGACGAACAGAAACGUGACCUGGUGACCUCAGUAGUGGAGGUGACCUGUAAGAAACCGGAUUUUGAAGUCGGGUCAUCGCUGCGUCUCCCAGGGGCCAAACCAGUGACGACCGGGACGUGGAACAUCAACUUAGAUGACGACCUCGACCUGGCAAGCCCCGAUGACCUACUGACAGAGGAGGACCUGACCCGACCCGACCCAGCGAGCCUGAAGGUGUGCGGCACAACUGGCCAGCGCAAGGCCUGCAAGAACUGCGUGUGUGGCCUGAAGGAGGAGCUGGAGGAUGAGGACAAGCAAAAGAAGGAAGAGGACAGGAAGAACUUCAAGUCAUCCUGUGGGAGUUGUUACCUUGGUGAUGCCUUUCGUUGUGCCUCCUGCCCCUACCUCGGCAUGCCAGCCUUCAAACCCGGCGAGAAGGUGAAGCUGGCCGACACCACCCUCAAGGACACCACCUGAGCCUCAUCACCGCUGCAGGGGGAGUGGCCGCACCUGUGAUACACCUGUUCUUUUGCCCCCACCCCCACCCCAACUUACUGUUAGAUUCCCAGCAACAUUCAAGAAUACACUCACAAUCCACCAUUUCUAACCCACCCCGGACAAGACAGGCAGUUCAGAAGUGUGGGCUGUCUAGAUGGAUGCCCACACUGGCUACCACACCAACCCACACAUACUCCAACACUGCUAGGGCAACACACACACCCUCCAACACUGCUAGGGCAACACACACAUGCUCCAACACUGCUAGGGCAACACACACACCCUCCAACACUGCUAGGGCAACACACACACAUGCUCCAACACUGCUAGGACAACACACACAUGCUCCAACACUGCUAGGACAACACACACUUGCUCCAACACUGCUAGAGCAACACACACAUGCUCCAACACUGCUAGGGCAACACACACACACUGUAACACUCCUGAGCCACGUGUCGAUCUCCCUGUGGACUGAAUCAUGUUGUAAUGCUUCUGAAUAUAAUAAGAGGUCGAGAAGUGGUUCGGGAGUGUUGGAGUGUGUGUUGCCCUGUGCUGGUCAGUGUGGGUGUCUACAGUGGGUUAGAAACUAUGGGUUGUUAGUGUGUAUUUCUCUAUACAUACAGGCAAAAUUACCUCAUUAUUUCAUUUACUAAAUUCCCAGAAACAUAUCAAGAGGUGUAUUUUGGAUUUCUCUCUUACAAUUACCAUUAUAAUUUCUGCGUCCAUUACUAGAUUCCAACAAAUAUAUUAAGAGGUGCAUAACUCUUACAAAUAUGCAACAUUACUUCUUUAUUUCUUUACCUUUCUCUAAGUAAUCCGUCAGACACACACGCAAGGUCUCGGCAUGCUUAGUUCCCACCACCAAACUCGACACCAUCACUUGUUUUCUUAAGAUUCCAACAAAUAUAUUAAAAGGUGCAUUUGUCUCCUACAUUACCAUCAUUGCUAGGUUCCUAUAGCUGUAUUAACUGGUGCAUUUCUCUCCUACAAAUAGCAGUCUUCUAUCUUUAUGUAUAGCUAGCUGGCAGUCCCACACAGGGCAGCCCGGACAAGGCACCACACACACACACUCAUAGACCACCUUACUACCCUAUCUAUUUAUCUUCCUAUCUCUGUACCAGGCUGCCAGUCCCACACAGGGCAGCUCAGACAAGGCACCACACACACACACACACACACACACACACACACACACAGCCCCACCAAGUCCCUCUAGUUCAGUAAGGCACACCAACUUAAACCUCAAAUAUACAGGUAUUUAAUGGUGUUGUCUUCUUUGCAAGACAACAAGUGUAGUAGAGUAAUAAUGUGUAUAUAUAUAGCUUGUAAGUUGUGUGUCUGUGUGUGUGUGUGUGUGUGUAUGAGUGUAUGAGGAGGAAGAGUGAGUGUGUGUGUUUUUUGAAGUGUUUUUUUUUUUAAGGUUAUUAAGUUUGGUAAGUGAUUUUGUGAUGAUUUUGCAGAGUUAGAGAUAUUUAUUUAGUGUUUUCAUUGUGUGUGUUUGUGUGUGUGAGAAUGUAAUGCUGGAGGUUGUUGUUAUAAUUACUAAUGGGUGCUAAAAGAAUUAUUAUUUCAGUUCAUAGGAAACCCAGUUGAUUUAUUUAGCAUUUUCAUGGUGUGUGAAUGUAAUGUAGGAGAUUAUUAUUAUUAUUAUUAUUAUUAUUAUUAUUGGGUGUUGAAAGAAUUAUCAUUUCAGUUUGUAGCAAAACCAGUUAUUUAUUUAGGAUUACCAUGGUGUGUGAAGGUAAUGUUGGAGAAUAUUACUAUUAUUAUUAUUAGUAGUAGUAGUUGUAGUGGGUGGCGAGAGGAUGGUGGGUAGUAAAUAUUCACAGUUGAGUUGAAUUAGUAUACAUUCAUUGUGUACAUAGAUAAGCAUUCCUAGCCACAGAAAAUAAAACUAUAUGAGAAAUUGAA